Molecule: signal recognition particle RNA, 275 nt
Filed under: Saimiri boliviensis boliviensis (Bolivian squirrel monkey)
Lineage: Eukaryota; Metazoa; Chordata; Mammalia; Primates; Cebidae
Description: Metazoan signal recognition particle RNA (ENSSBOG00000003440.1)
Rfam family: Metazoan signal recognition particle RNA
About the family: The signal recognition particle (SRP) is a universally conserved ribonucleoprotein. It is involved in the co-translational targeting of proteins to membranes.
Source: RNAcentral
GCCAGGCACAGUGGUGCAUGCCUGUAGCCCCAGCUAUUCGGGAGACUGAGGCUGGAGGAUCUCUUGAGUCCAGGAGUUCUGGGUUGUAACUAUGCCGAUCGGGUAUCUGCACUAAGUUUGGCAUCAAUAUGGUGACCUCCCAGGAGUGGAGGACCACCAGGUUACCUAAGGAGGAAACGGAGCAAGUCAAAACUCCCGUGCUGAUCAGUAGUGGGAUCGUGUCUGUGAAUAGCCACUGCAUUCCAGCCUGGGCAACAUAGUAAGACCCUGUCUCU